CCCCCGCCUGCGGACGCGCCGCACGGGGCAGGUGCCCGGUUCACCGCGCGCCGCGGGCGGGGCUGGAGCUCUGCGGCGGAGCGUACCCGCCCGGAGCCCGGAAUCGGGCGCGGGGAAGCCGAGGGUACCACGGACCUCCCGGCGACUUGGGCGAGUGUACACGGCACAGAUCAUCCAGGAAAAACAGAAGAUAGUCUUAGAGGAACUCAAUCAAAAUGCUGACUUAUUUGAGAUACUUUUGAGAACAUCAGCUUAUAUCAGACCAGAGCCUAUUUAACACGAGGCCUCUUCUACACAAACAGGGAAUGCAGCCUUCUUAAUACUGUUCUGGAUGGCUUCUGUGUUGCAGUAUAGACAGAAGUUAAGAAACAAUGGUUCUGAAAUCAGAAACAUCUGCAUUCUGGUCUGCUACCUGCCACUUAAUAGCUGAAUGAGUUGGGUAAGCCGCUUCUUUCUUUUUUUUUUUUUUUAAAGAUUUUAUUUAUUUAUUCAUGAGAGACACACACAGAGAGAGGGAGAGACAUA
RNAcentral lists this long non-coding RNA (525 nucleotides) under Vulpes vulpes (red fox). RNAcentral's name for it is "lncRNA (ENSVVUG00000014111.1)". Lineage: Eukaryota; Metazoa; Chordata; Mammalia; Carnivora; Canidae. The record is from RNAcentral.